GCUGGGUAUGGUGGCAUGAGCUUGUAGUCCCAGCUAGUUGGGAGGCUAAGGUAGGAGGAGCUCUUGAGACCAGGAGUUCUGGGCUAUAGCGCACUAUGCUGAUGGGGUGUCCACACUCAGUGUGGCAUCACUAUGGCAACUUCCCAGGAGUGGGGGCCCACCAGGUUGCCUAAGGAGGGGUGAACCAGGUCAAAAACAGAGCAGAUCAAAGUAUCUAUGUUGAUCAGUAGUGGGACUGCACCCGUGAAUAGUCACUACACUUGAUCCUUUCUUUGUUCUGGCCUUUA
This is an unclassified non-coding RNA of Callithrix jacchus (white-tufted-ear marmoset), 287 nucleotides long. It matches the Rfam family "Metazoan signal recognition particle RNA". Rfam says of the family: The signal recognition particle (SRP) is a universally conserved ribonucleoprotein. It is involved in the co-translational targeting of proteins to membranes. The record is from Ensembl. Lineage: Eukaryota; Metazoa; Chordata; Mammalia; Primates; Cebidae.